This 699-nucleotide ribosomal RNA is filed under the name uncultured Staphylococcus sp. RNAcentral's name for it is "bacterial SSU rRNA". It matches the Rfam family "Bacterial small subunit ribosomal RNA", at positions 74 to 758 of the family's 1533-position model. The record is from RNAcentral. Lineage: Bacteria; Bacillati; Bacillota; Bacilli; Caryophanales; Staphylococcaceae.
AGGAGCUUGCUUCUCUGACGUUAGCGGCGGACGGGUGAGUAACACGUGGAUAACCUACCUAUAAGACUGGGAUAACUUCGGGAAACCGGAGCUAAUACCGGAUAAUAUAUUGAACCGCAUGGUUCAAUAGUGAAAGACGGUUUUGCUGUCACUUAUAGAUGGAUCCGCGUCGCAUUAGCUAGUUGGUAAGGUAACGGCUUACCAAGGCAACGAUGCGUAGCCGACCUGAGAGGGUGAUCGGCCACACUGGAACUGAGACACGGUCCAGACUCCUACGGGAGGCAGCAGUAGGGAAUCUUCCGCAAUGGGCGAAAGCCUGACGGAGCAACGCCGCGUGAGUGAUGAAGGUCUUCGGAUCGUAAAACUCUGUUAUUAGGGAAGAACAAAUGUGUAAGUAACUAUGCACGUCUUGACGGUACCUAAUCAGAAAGCCACGGCUAACUACGUGCCAGCAGCCGCGGUAAUACGUAGGUGGCAAGCGUUAUCCGGAAUUAUUGGGCGUAAAGCGCGCGUAGGCGGUUUUUUAAGUCUGAUGUGAAAGCCCACGGCUCGACCGUGGAGGGUCAUUGGAAACUGGAAAACUUGAGUGCAGAAGAGGAAAGUGGAAUUCCAUGUGUAGCGGUGAAAUGCGCAGAGAUAUGGAGGAACACCAGUGGCGAAGGCGACUUUCUGGUCUGUAACUGACGCUGAUGUGCGAAA